UUAGGAGUUUGAUCCUGGCUCAGGACGAACGCUGGCGGCGUGCMUAAUACAUGCAAGUCGAGCGCUUGGGGUGUUCCCUUACGGGAAACCCCCUGGAGCGGCGGACGGGUGAGUAACACGUAGGCAACCUGCCUGUAAGAUCGGGAUAACUACCGGAAACGGUAGCUAAGACCGGAUAGCUGGUUUCUCCGCAUGGGGGRAUCAUGAAACAUGGGGCAACCUGUGGCUUACGGAUGGGCCUGCGGCGCAUUAGCUAGUUGGUGGGGUAAUGGCCCACCAAGGCGACGAUGCGUAGCCGACCUGAGAGGGUGAUCGGCCACACUGGGACUGAGACACGGCCCANACUCCUACGGGAGGCAGCANUANGGAAUCUUCCGCAAUGGGCGCAAGCCUGACNGAGCAACGCCGCGUGAGUGAUGAAAGUUUUCGGAUCGUAAAGCUCUGUUGCCNANGAAAAAACACCUCNGANAAUAACUGCUCUGAAGGUGACNGUACUUGAAAAAGAAANCCCC
Molecule: ribosomal RNA, 512 nt
Filed under: Paenibacillus validus
Lineage: Bacteria; Bacillati; Bacillota; Bacilli; Caryophanales; Paenibacillaceae
Description: partial 16S ribosomal RNA
Rfam family: Bacterial small subunit ribosomal RNA
Source: RNAcentral